RNAcentral lists this ribosomal RNA (253 nucleotides) under uncultured bacterium. Its description in RNAcentral is "partial 16S ribosomal RNA". It matches the Rfam family "Bacterial small subunit ribosomal RNA", at positions 524 to 776 of the family's 1533-position model. The record is from RNAcentral.
UACGUAGGGUGCAAGCGUUGUCCGGAAUUAUUGGGCGUAAAGGGCUCGUAGGCGGUCCAUCACGUCGGGAGUGAAAAGCUGGGGCUUAACCCCAGUCCUGCUUCCGAUACGGGUGGACUAGAGGUAGGCAGGGGAGAACGGAAUUCCUGGUGUAGCGGUGAAAUGCGCAGAUAUCAGGAGGAACACCGGUGGCGAAGGCGGAUCUCUGGGCCUUGCCUGACGCUGAGGCGCGAAAGCUAGGGGAGCGAAUGGG